This is a long non-coding RNA of Vitis riparia (riverbank grape), 1263 nucleotides long. RefSeq lists it as uncharacterized. The record is from RefSeq and is a predicted model, not a curated record. The transcript has 2 exons. Lineage: Eukaryota; Viridiplantae; Streptophyta; Magnoliopsida; Vitales; Vitaceae.
AUAAGGCCGGCACACCCUUCUCUGAGCUCCCUCUCUGUUUGUCUGGGGCUCCUAAGACAUGGGAACUCGAGGAAGUGGAAGCCAAGGUGACGCCUUUAUCUGCAUUUGCACCUGCACCUUAUCGUAUUGUGUUUGUUUGGGUUUCAUCUCUGCCUUGAACUUGCUCAAAAAGGGUAUAAACUGGGAGAGAUGAUGGUGAGGAAUAGGUGCAGGUGAAGGUGCAGAUGAAUGCCACUUUGGCUCUUUGGGUUCACUCACAGAUGCCGCUCUUUGUCACUUGCUUAUGAAAGAACCGUUCAAACGACAGACCCAUCAACAAAUUGCUAUGGUGUCGCUUCUUGUAAGAUAAUGAGAACUCACUCUCCUAACGUUUUUAUGGGGCUUCUCAAGGCAAAGAUCUCUCCAUGUCUUUUUAGUUACAGUCUAGCCUAGACUUCUACACAUGGUAGCUUCUGAAGGGCUGUUCAAACAACAGAUCCAUCAACAAAUAUGACCUUUUCAAGGUAAAGAUCAUAUCUCUCUUUACUACUCUCAAGCCUGAAGUUCACCACAUGCAUGAUAUAUUCAAUUACAGUUCUAUUCUACUGAUUUUACUUAGCCAAAAAAAACAACAGAUCCCCCCGAUCCCGUGAAGCAUAGAUAUUUAAUGUGGGACUUGGUUACCAUCACAGAAUGCUUAGAACUUGUUGGUUUUUUUCCAGCCACGUACUUUGUGAGCAUACUUCAACUCAUAAUUUUCCUUACCUUCUUAUUCUCUUCUUCUUCUUUCCCUUCGCUUUCUUUUACUAAUUAAGCAAGCAGAUGGAUGGAAAUAUUCUAGCCUCGAAAUCAAGCGCUUAUUCCAUUCAAAGGCUUUUGAUAGACCUGUCUUCACGAGCAUAGUGCAGUUACUGUACUUGAUCAGGUAUGCCAGUACAGGCUUCUUUGUUUUGCGGGAAUUGCAUACACUUUUUCAUGCAUGAUAUAAUUAAAAGUAAAGUUGAGAAUCUUUACUAAAAAUUUGGAAAGAAAUGUUAUGAUUGUAAGCCAUUCUUAUUGAAAAUGAAAUCAAAAGGGUGACACAGGUGCCUCUUAACCAAAACCCUAAAGAAGCAAACGAUGAGCUCCAAAACCCCUUGUUCUACGAUUUGUGUACUCUCUCUUUUGGAUGGAAGACUACAAACUGAUUAACUAGUACAACGCAAUAUCAUGCAUAGUUGGCUACUUAGGGUAACAGUUGUAACAGUUUCUGAUAAGAGAUCGCCAAUUCUCUUCAGAGAAUCA